Molecule: ribosomal RNA, 253 nt
Filed under: uncultured bacterium
Lineage: Bacteria
Description: partial 16S ribosomal RNA
Rfam family: Bacterial small subunit ribosomal RNA
Source: RNAcentral
UCCCGCGGGGGCCCUCGUUCUUCGGAAUUAUUGGGCGUAAAGGGCGCGUAGGCGGUUUUUUAAGUCGGAUGUGCAAUCCCUGGGCUCAACCCAGGAACUGCAUCCGAGACUGGAAGGCUAGAGUACUGGAGAGGGUGGUGGAAUUCCUCGUGUAGCGGUGAAAUGCGUAGAGAUGAGGAGGAACACCAGUGGCGAAGGCGGCCACCUGGACAGUAACUGACGCUGAGGCGCGAAAGCGUGGGUAGCAAACAGG